GUGAAUUAAAUCCGGUAAGUCUCCACUGAAGGCACAGGUACCAAAUGCACGGCCCGCCACUGAGAUUACUAAAGGUCUGAGUACCUAGAAAUGAAGACUAACUGGAGGAUGACUUGUAUAAAGCUGCAAGUGACAGACCUGCUGAGUACAUUUAACUCCAGAACUUAGGAGGUGCACAGUGAAGAAGAUAACCCAAAAUGUCGUGGGCUUGCACUACAAACCUCCAGACAUUUCAGAUGAUUGAGGGUAAACAAAAAUGGGAAUUGUUAAAGUGAAUGGUGCUUGAUGGCGAUGAACCCGGCAGAGGGACG
Monopterus albus (swamp eel) is the source of this 311-nucleotide long non-coding RNA. RefSeq lists it as uncharacterized. The record is from RefSeq and is a predicted model, not a curated record. NCBI's taxonomy places the organism in Eukaryota, Metazoa, Chordata, Actinopteri, Synbranchiformes, Synbranchidae. The transcript has 3 exons.